GCGACCCCAGGUCAGACGGGAU
Molecule: ribosomal RNA, 22 nt
Filed under: Eriolaena spectabilis
Lineage: Eukaryota; Viridiplantae; Streptophyta; Magnoliopsida; Malvales; Malvaceae
Also listed under: 25 other names
Description: partial 26S ribosomal RNA
Source: RNAcentral